AUGCCGGCAAGCGAGGCGGCCGUAUCCGGCGAGGUGGUGUGCCGGCGGGGGUGCGGACACGGAGGGGGGUUUAGCGCGUGCAUGCGGAGCUGCUGCAAGAAUGCACGCGUUGGGUUCAACUCGAGCACGAGCUCAUGGCGAGCUUGGCUUGGUACCGUCGGUGCAGAGGCCGAGCGAGCGACCUCUGAAGCUGGCGAGGCGAGGCGAGGCGAGCGUGCACACGGGCAAGCGUGGCGAGGAGAACGCAGCCAGGUGGGAACCAGAGCACGGGGACGCGCGAGCGCGCUGUAUCAAGUACACACAACAAAACUGCAGACCUCGCCGGAGCACCGUGAGCACAGCAAAGACACGGAUUGA
Molecule: ribosomal RNA, 357 nt
Filed under: Triticum aestivum (bread wheat)
Lineage: Eukaryota; Viridiplantae; Streptophyta; Magnoliopsida; Poales; Poaceae
Description: partial small subunit ribosomal RNA
Source: RNAcentral